GAUGAACGCUAGCGGCAGGCCUAAUACAUGCAAGUCGAACGGCAAGAUUUGGUAGCAAUACUGAAUCCUAGAGUGGCGCACGGGUGAGUAACGCGUACAUGACAUACCUAUAAGCGAGGGAUAGCAUUGGGAAACUGGUAGUAACCCCUCAUGUGAUUAUUUGUAAUAAAGGUAAAUAAUUAAAACUACGGUGCUUAUAGAUUGGUGUGCGUCUGAUUAGCUAGUUGGCGAGGUAACGGCUCACCAAGGCGACGAUCAGUAGGGGGCGUGAGAGCGUGAACCCCCACACGGGUACUGAGACACGGACCCGACUCCUACGGGAGGCAGCAGUAAGGAAUAUUGGUCAAUGGAGGGAACUCUGAACCAGCCAUGCCGCGUGCAGGAUGAAAGCCCUCUGGGUUGUAAACUGCUUUUUAACAGGGAAGAAAAUGCUAUACGCGAUAUAGUACUGACGGUACCUGAGGAAUAAGCACCGGCUAACUCCGUGCCAGCAGCCGCGG
RNAcentral lists this ribosomal RNA (500 nucleotides) under uncultured bacterium. Its description in RNAcentral is "bacterial SSU rRNA". It matches the Rfam family "Bacterial small subunit ribosomal RNA", at positions 28 to 520 of the family's 1533-position model. The record is from RNAcentral.